Molecule: long non-coding RNA, 5115 nt
Organism: Dreissena polymorpha
Lineage: Eukaryota; Metazoa; Mollusca; Bivalvia; Myida; Dreissenidae
Exons: 2
Source: RefSeq, a predicted model, not a curated record
UGCUGGUUGUUGAUACCCAUAUUAUAUAGUUUACUUAAACCAUCCUUGAGUUGAACUAUUUUCUUUUGUGUGUCAAAAUAAACCAACCGACCGAUCAUGUGAAGUCGCAUGGUUUUAUAUUACGCUAAAGAUUACAUAGUUUCUAUGUUUAUUGAAGUUGUAACCGUCGAACAAACUGGAUUUGCAUUUUAGUUUGAUAGUGGUAGUGUUAUAUGUUACUUUUUAACAGACUAUGUACCCAAUCUAGAUUGGCUGGGUUUGUUUUGCUCAUUAAUGUAACCAAUCAGUAUUAAGAGAGACCUAAAUAUUCAAGUUAAAUCAAAGGUUAAGAAUAUUACUGCUGGUGUGUUUUGUAAUAAAGCUUUCAGUAAAAUGGCAACUUUUUCAGAAUCAACCAUAAACAAAGGAUCUGACGUUUUCCAAGACUUCCUGUGCUCGACCUGUGAAUACAAAAAAAUGGCUGAAUUCUACUGCGGAUCCUGCGUGAAGUUUUAUUGCGGAAAUUGUAUUUUCAUUCAUAGCCAGUUGUUUAUAAAACAUGCCCCCGUUGGAAGAGGUGAUAUGAAGAAAUGGCCAGUGGCCAAGAAGGUAGAAGAUAUUCUUCUGAAAUGUGAUGUCCAUAAAGAAGAAAAUCUUAAAAUGUUUUGUAAUGACCACCGCGAGCUGUGCUGCUCAUAUUGUGUACUCCUUUUUCACAGAAAGUGCGAUAAUGUAACUUUAAUAUCUCAAGUAAAAAGUCAGUCCGCAGACCUAUCAGUGUCUAUCCAAAUAAUUCUGGAAGAAAUGAAGAAACUUCAAGACAAACAGGAGGCUAGAUUUUGGUCUGUGCAAAGUUCAUAUGAUGAGCAGUUAAACAUGAUACAGGAAACUCGCAAUAAAAUAGAUGCAGCCUUAAACAUGAUUGAACGGAACACACGGACGGAAAUGAAAGAUAUUCACACCAAACUGCAAGCCUCUUAUAAAAGUGAUGUUGACGAGUGCAUCAGGCUUCGAGAUGGAUUGAAACAACUUAGAGACGCCAUACAAGACAUAAGUGAUAAAAACAAUAGGGAACUAUCUUUUAUAGCAACCAGGAAAUGUGAGAAGAAAAUACAACAGUCUGAAACCUUUCUGGAGAAGAUCUCUCUUCAGGUUAAAAAUUUAAGAUAUUCAAUAAUUCCCAAACCAAAAUCGCAUGAUUUUUUAACAUGCUUGCUGCAAGCCUGUCGCAAGCUUGAGGCACGCUUGUCGUAAUCUUAGAAUAGGAAUCUUGCAGCAAGCUCGCGCAAGCUUGCGGAUGAUUCUAUUUUGCAAGAUUAGAAUUGGAACCUCGCAGCAAGCUUGCAUUUCACGAAGCUUGCGCAAGCUUAGAAUUGGAGCCUUGCAGCAAGCUUGCGCGAGCUUACUGUUUCCAUAGAGUAUUAGUGUCAAAUUUGUUAAUAACCUUCCAAUCUGAAAAAAGUUAUUAUAGUAUAUACAUAUCUACAUAAAAAGUACAUUUCAAUGAGUAAGCUCUUCUAGCCGUAGCACAUUUGCUAUUUAUAUUGUCAUUAAACGAUGGAGCAGAUAGGCAGGGUUCACCUUUGUCUUUUUUGAAAGUAUUCAAUACAAAAUAUUCAAUGCCAGUGUGGCAACACUGGUCAAAUAUGUUGUUGAUGUUGUGGCAUUAUGGCCCUUCCUUGAACCUUUGGCGCUUGAUUUAGCGAGUUGUUCCCUGCUGAAAAGGCAGCCAUCAGUGCAAUGGUCAACUUUCUCGGAUUGGCUCUAGUAUGCCCUAUUUGGGAAAGUUGUCCUUGAGUGGCAUACACUUAGUACUCUAGAUGGAGGCGAACCGUUAUAACACCAGAGCUCUGAAAAAAAAAAUAAUACCACUGAAAUAACAAUAAUUUCUAAAUAACGCGUAACAUCAAAUCAAUGUGCUACAGAAAACAACAAAAUAAAAAAGAAAGUCAGAUUUGAAAUGGUAUUUUAACAUAUAAGAUCAAUUUCAUACGACGAUUUUCAGUUAACGGUUUUUUAAAAUAUUAUGUGCUGCUUGUUGUUUUACGUUACACAUUCCUUCCAAUGAUUAGUCCCUUGCAGACUUUGAUCACAGUGGUUCAACUGCAAGCCACUGCAGGGUGGAGACUCCAUGUUUAUAACUUAUUGGCUUCCACUAAACCAUAUGUAAGCCGUACUGAUGUUGGUUUCUACAAUGUCUGCUUGUGUGCUGUCUCAGCUGUUGCAGUCUGCCUUUAUGUUUAAAAAAAAUAAAUAAUAUAAAAUAAGCUGAACAAUCAUUUCGGAUAUAAUAAAAAUGUAACAAACAUUAAGCAUAAAUAAGAGAGAUUCUGAAUAAAUGUUUUGGUACAAUUAAAUUUUCUCAAAUUUAUACUUCUGGGUGCAGAAGAUUACACUGCAGGAAUUUGCCGCAACUAAACCUAUGGAAAUAAAAAACAUGUAACACCAGCAAUAGUUUCAGGGUGCAGCAAAAUGAUUAUGGUGCAAACAUUGGCUAGAUUGAAACAGCAAGUAGCAAGACAAUCCACAUUCUAACAUGUUCAUCAUAUAUUUAUAUUAAUUAUUAUUGUCCUGAUUUGUUACAAUAACAAAAAUCGUCAAAAGUGUAUAUACCAAGACAGUAGCAGUAUUUCAUGAAAAACAUAAGAAAAGUUUAUCAGUAUUAUAAUAUUCGUAAGGGACAACUGAAAUAAAGAUAACUGUUUGACCAAACUAAAUAUUUUUUUCUGGCCCGGACAACAGGACAUAUGCAUUGAUUGUUGUUAUUGAAAAGUAAGGAUAUUAUUACUGAACAUAUUAUAUCAGUCCUUUCUCCCCGUCCUAUGAUGUAGCCUGAAAUGUUUUUUAUGACCCCGAAGGAGGGCAUGUAGUGAUCAGAUCGUCCGUCCGUCUGUCUGUCAUUCCGUUACACUUUGCGUUUAGGUUUCGCGUUUAGGUUUCGAAAAAUGCUCAUAACUUCUUUGUCGCUUCAGAUAGCAACUUUAUAUUUGGCAUGCAUGUGCAUCUCAUAGAGCUGCACAUUUUGAGUGGUGAAAGGUCAAAGUCAUUUUUCAAGGUCAAAGGUCAAAUAUAUGGCUUCAAAGCGGCGCAGAAGGGUGCAUUGUGUUUCUGACAAACACAUCUCUUGUUAAGUAUCCUUUCUCCCCAGUAUCUUAUGAUGCACUUUAAAUUUAAAUUUCUAAAAGUUUUAACUAUAUUUUUAAAAGCAAAAUUUGUAUUUUCAUCUGCAUUCGUUUGGAAUAGUGUUUUUUAUUCACUUAAUUUCCAUACAACAUAAACUUUCUAUCAUCCUUUUACAUAUCCCACUGGUACACAGUACAUAUUUAUAAUUCAAAUUAUAUUAUUAAAUAAUCUAGAUUAAAACAGUCUGUAGAAAUAAAAAUACAAACCUUUUAUGCUGUUCUGCAUGAUGUACAUAUCACGAGGAUAUCCGUGUUGGACUGUUUGUCUAUAAAAAUAAAUAUAAAAACAUAUUGAUUUUAUUUUCUCUUUAGUUUAUGUAUGGAUUGUUACCUAUAAUUAACUAUGUAAUGAAUUGUCAGUUCCUAUUUCUGUGAUUCACUGUUGUUCAUAUGACUGUGUGUCUAUGAUUCGUAUUAACCGUAACCACGCGAUGACCCAUAUUUUAUCAAUUGAUGUUAUGUCUCAUGAGAUUUUCUGGUGUCUAGUAUCGGUUUUUCACUUGACAAAAAUGAAAAUCAGAAUGACGAUAAGCAUGACCCACUUCUGAUGCGACUAGUGUAUUACAUGUUUUAUAUAGCUUUGGAUUUCGUGUUUGUUUUGUAUCGUGUUUUUAAUAUGUGUUUCUAUUAUGUGGUGUUUUGUAUAGGUAACUGGAUUGGUUUGUGUUAAAAAUAUGUGUUUGUAUUUAUGUGUGUGUGAGCAAUUGUUUGUGUGGUGUUGUUUUUGUAAUAUGUGUUUGCAUUGUUUUGUAUUCAUAAAUGAUAACUUACAACUGAUUAUAAUGUGUUUUUAUUGUAUUGUGUUUGUAGUAUGUAUUGGUAUUGUGUUGUGCUUUAUAAAUGUGUCUCAUAUUUUGUGAUUCAAUUGUGUUGACUUGUAUUUAAUUGUUGUAUUUUUGCCCUUAAUAUAAUAUGUAUUGAAGUGUGUUUGUUACAAUGUAAAUUUAUAGCGUUAUGUUGUUGUUUAUAUUCGACAAUGUUUAAUUAUAUGUGCAUAAAGAACAUUGCACUUUAAAAACGCUUAGUCUUCAAAUGAUGCAAUUUGAUUCUGUCCUGGAUUAUAUCCCGCAAGCACUGAGAUAUGUACAAAAUUACAAGUUUGCAGAACAGCGAGUGCUGUAUUUAAAUAAUUAAACAUUAUUUUGCAACGAAUGAUACGUAAUGUUUUAGUUUACUUUAUGUAUUGUAAGACCUCGCUAAUUAUAUAAUGUUUGCAAGGCACUAAUGUGUUACAUAUACAAUAUAUUUACUAAUAAAUAUGAUUCAAUUACAUUGUCUAGUAAAAUACUAGAACCAGCACACAUAUGUAAUCCUGUCGAAAAAAAAAGCUACAUAGUAUUAUGUGAACUUUGUCAGACGUUUGUUUUUGUUUUAUAUAGAAAAUAUAGGGAAUGUCACCGGUUUACUUUAAAAGACUAUAAUUUUAGCCUCAAAAGAUACAAAGAAGCAUUCAUUUGACAGAUGAAAUUUAAAUAAACGUGUUAUUAUUUCUACAAUGUGUUUGGAAUGUAUUGUAGACAAUUAUUAAGUGAAGAGUAGAACUUAGAAUUAAUAUGUUUCGUGUAUUUAUAUUAUGUAUAUGUGUCUACGUUUCUUUAUAUUGCUGUAUAUAAUUAUUCCUCAUCAAUUGUUUACUACAAAUAGAGAAAGUUUGAAAACUGUUUAAAGUUUCAUCCAGCUAUGUUGCAAUACAAGCUGUAAGUUUCCCAAAGGAAAGUAGAUAAUGAUUAUGUCUUUAAAAACAGUUUAGACAAUUAGUCUGGCAUCGUAAAUCAAGCACGAGACUAGAAGCACUAGAUAAUACUUCCAAAACAUGUUUACACUACUCCAAAACGACAUAUGUCGAUACAUUUUGUUUAACUAUAUUUGUUAAGCUCUUUUUGAGUUUAGUUUAUAAAUGUAUGUGUGUGUUAAUUACUUCUAUGAGUGUGUGAAUAAAAACUCUUUAAAAUGA